GUCGUACGCUUCUUUUUCCACCGGAGCUUGCUCCACCGGAAAAAGAAGAGUGGCGAACGGGUGAGUAACACGUGGGUAACCUGCCCAUCAGAAGGGGAUAACACUUGGAAACAGGUGCUAAUACCGUAUAACAAUCGAAACCGCAUGGUUUUGAUUUGAAAGGCGCUUUCGGGUGUCGCUGAUGGAUGGACCCGCGGUGCAUUAGCUAGUUGGUGAGGUAACGGCUCACCAAGGCCACGAUGCAUAGCCGACCUGAGAGGGUGAUCGGCCACAUUGGGACUGAGACACGGCCCAAACUCCUACGGGAGGCAGCAGUAGGGAAUCUUCGGCAAUGGACGAAAGUCUGACCGAGCAACGCCGCGUGAGUGAAGAAGGUUUUCGGAUCGUAAAACUCUGUUGUUAGAGAAGAACAAGGAUGAGAGUAACUGUUCAUCCCUUGACGGUAUCUAACCAGAAAGCCACGGCUAACUACGUGCCAGCAGCCGCGGUAAUACGUAGGUGGCAAGCGUUGUCCGGAUUUAUUGGGCGUAAAGCGAGCGCAGGCGGUUUCUUAAGUCUGAUGUGAAAGCCCCCGGCUCAACCGGGGAGGGUCAUUGGAAACUGGGAGACUUGAGUGCAGAAGAGGAGAGUGGAAUUCCAUGUGUAGCGGUGAAAUGCGUAGAUAUAUGGAGGAACACCAGUGGCGAAGGCGGCUCUCUGGUCUGUAACUGACGCUGAGGCUCGAAAGCGUGGGGAGCAAACAGGAUUAGAUACCCUGGUAGUCCACGCCGUAAACGAUGA
RNAcentral lists this ribosomal RNA (780 nucleotides) under uncultured bacterium. RNAcentral describes it as "bacterial SSU rRNA". It matches the Rfam family "Bacterial small subunit ribosomal RNA", at positions 61 to 812 of the family's 1533-position model. The record is from RNAcentral.